RNAcentral lists this signal recognition particle RNA (97 nucleotides) under Gammaproteobacteria bacterium. Its description in RNAcentral is "signal recognition particle sRNA small type". It matches the Rfam family "Bacterial small signal recognition particle RNA". Rfam says of the family: The signal recognition particle (SRP) is a universally conserved ribonucleoprotein involved in the co-translational targeting of proteins to membranes. Archaeal SRP consists of a 7S RNA and homologues of the eukaryotic SRP19 and SRP54 proteins. Lineage: Bacteria; Pseudomonadati; Pseudomonadota; Gammaproteobacteria. The record is from RNAcentral.
CAUCGGCCCUCCCGCAACGCUACAUUGUGAACCCCGUCAGGCCUGGAAGGGAGCAGCGGCAACAAUCGAUGCGUGUGCCGGGUUUCGGGUGGGUGUG